RNAcentral lists this ribosomal RNA (592 nucleotides) under uncultured ciliate. RNAcentral describes it as "SSU rRNA". It matches the Rfam family "Eukaryotic small subunit ribosomal RNA", at positions 329 to 1009 of the family's 1831-position model. The record is from RNAcentral. Lineage: Eukaryota; Ciliophora.
UGGUGUCUCGUACACCUGGCUCUGGGCAACGGGGAAUUAGGGUUCGAUUCCGGAGAAGGAGCCUGAGAAACGGCUACUACAUCUAAGGAAGGCAGCAGGCGCGUAAAUUACCCAAUCCUGACUCAGGGAGGUAGUGACAAGAUAUAACGACGCGACUAAAAAUCGCGAUUGUGGUGAGGGUAUUCCAAACCGAACCACUAGUACGAUUGGAGGGCAAGUCUGGUGCCAGCAGCCGCGGUAAUUCCAGCUCCAAUAGCGUAUAUUAAAGUUGUUGCAGUUAAAAAGCUCGUAGUUGGAUAACAAGGGUCGCAACGUGGAAUACACGCUUGCACCCUACCAGUCUUUGACUGUUACUGUGAGAAAAUUAGAGUGUUUCAAGCAGGCUAUUGCAGGAAUACAUUAUCAUGGAAUAACGAAUGUGUCUAGAAUCUUGGUUAAUUCUAGAUUACGAUUAAUAGGGACAGUUGGGGGCAUUAGUAUUUAAUUGUCAGAGGUGAAAUUCUUGGAUUUGUUAAAGACUAACGUAUGCAAAAGCAUUUGCCAAGGAUGUUUUCAUUAAUCAAGAACGAAAGAUAGGGGAUCAAAGACGAUC